RNAcentral lists this transfer RNA (72 nucleotides) under Camelus bactrianus (Bactrian camel). It matches the Rfam family "tRNA". From Rfam's summary of the family: Transfer RNA (tRNA) molecules are approximately 80 nucleotides in length. The record is from Rfam by way of RNAcentral. Lineage: Eukaryota; Metazoa; Chordata; Mammalia; Artiodactyla; Camelidae. RNAcentral also lists the same sequence under 2 other names.
AUGGGUACAGCUCAGUGGUAGAGCGUGAUCUUAGCAUGCACAAGGUCCUGGGUUCAAUCCCCAGUACCCCCA